This 328-nucleotide ribosomal RNA is filed under the name uncultured bacterium. RNAcentral describes it as "bacterial SSU rRNA". It matches the Rfam family "Bacterial small subunit ribosomal RNA", at positions 505 to 832 of the family's 1533-position model. The record is from RNAcentral.
GUGUCAGCCGCCGCGGUAAUACGUAGGUGGCAAGCGUUGUCCGGAUUUAUUGGGCGUAAAGCGUGCGCAGGCGGUUUCUUAAGUGUGAUGUGAAAUCCCACGGCUUAACUGUGGAGGGUCAUUGGAAACUGGGUGACUUGAGUGCAGAAGAGGAAAGUGGAAUUCCAAGUGUAGCGGUGAAAUGCGUAGAGAUUAGGAAGAACACCAGUGGCGAAGGCGGCUUUCUGGACUGCAACUGACGCUGAGGCGCGAAAGCAUGGGGAGCAAACAGGAUUAGAUACCCUGGUAGUCCAUGCCGUAAACGAUGAAUGCUAGGUGUAGGAGGUAU